GUCAUCGCGAGGUGGGGUCUGAAGGAAGCGUGGAGCAAAGCCAUGACCUGACGAACAGAAACCUGAUACAAGGCUCAUCCGAUCGGCAGAGCGAGCAUAUGAUCGCGAAGGCCAUAACCAUC
Non-coding RNA from Rhodnius prolixus, 122 nucleotides. Lineage: Eukaryota; Metazoa; Arthropoda; Insecta; Hemiptera; Reduviidae. The record is from Rfam.